Molecule: ribosomal RNA, 129 nt
Filed under: uncultured bacterium
Lineage: Bacteria
Description: partial 16S ribosomal RNA
Rfam family: Bacterial small subunit ribosomal RNA
Source: RNAcentral
CUACGGGAGGCAGCAGUAAGGAAUAUUGGUCAAUGGACGCAAGUCUGAACCAGCCAUGCCGCGUGCAGGAUGACUGCCCUAUGGGUUGUAAACUGCUUUUGUUAGGGAAUAAACCCAUCUACGAGUAGA